RNAcentral lists this ribosomal RNA (327 nucleotides) under Triticum aestivum (bread wheat). Its description in RNAcentral is "partial small subunit ribosomal RNA". Lineage: Eukaryota; Viridiplantae; Streptophyta; Magnoliopsida; Poales; Poaceae. The record is from RNAcentral.
AUGAUAUUCCUUAUUGCAAUUAAUGACACUAAAUUUCUCAAACCAUGGGUAAGUGCAGAAGUAAAAGAAUCUGAGUUCAAUGCCCAUGCGUUGCCACAAGCUAACAAUUCUUUAGAAAGAGAAAUGUUGUGUGCUAUUGACUAUCCACAUGGGAUGAUAUUUCAUAUUCGUCAUGUUGUAGACAAAUGCAUCUCAUUACUGCCUUCCUCUCCUCCAUCUUCUCGGCCAUCACAUGACAAUUUGCUUCCUUCCUCCCACUGUCCUUCAAUCUAUGUGUUUUCUCUCCCUACCUUGCACAACUAUUUUGAGAAUCUUGUUCGACUCUAA